This is a long non-coding RNA of Eriocheir sinensis (Chinese mitten crab), 552 nucleotides long. RefSeq lists it as uncharacterized. The transcript has 3 exons. The record is from RefSeq and is a predicted model, not a curated record. Lineage: Eukaryota; Metazoa; Arthropoda; Malacostraca; Decapoda; Varunidae.
CGUGUGGCGAAUAAUUGAUUGAUUGUUUAUUGUUGCAAGAUUCGCCGCCUGCCUUUCCUGCAGACACCACCUCGAACCUCUCUCCUUGAGUGGAACAUCCUCAGGGGUAACAGGCCCCUCGACGGCAUACAUCUAGAAAUUGAAACACGGGUUUUGCUCCUUCUCCAACCAUCCCUGAUACCCUGCGCCCUUGUCCACCCAGCAGUGCAUGGCUACCAGGGGUAACAGGUAUGUUUGGCCGUGUAUUUUAUUGCGGCGGACGGGAUGCGAACCUGUGUGCUUCUGAAAGCUGCUCCAGCACGCCGCCACUCAGCCACCGCCUCCCUCUUGCUUAGGGAACAAAUCACAAUACAAGGUAUUUUUAAGUCCUUUCCUUUACUGUUUAGCGCAAGUUCGUGGCGGUUACUUUUAUUCCUUGCCAGGUCUGAUAUUUUCCAGUCUGUUUCCCUUUUUUUCAUGUUUUCCUCUUCACGCUCCUCACCUCGACCUUCGUUUAGGGAGUGACCUCGCUUAGCCUUCCUCUCACCUACCCUGACCUGCCCUAAUCUUACC